CGGGGUCACAGCGAGCAUCAGGAGGUGCGGGGGACCCCCCUGCACGCGUGCCCCACAUUUGUCUUUCUGAGCUCUGGCUUGUUAGCAUGACUUGGGGAGGGAUAUUAGGAGCUGGGGGGGAGCCCCCAAAAUGCUGCUUUACUGUCAAAAUAAUUGUGUUCUGAAUUGUCUUUUGGGGCAAAUGGCUUUUGAGGAGACAAGAGAUUCUGGCGAGAGCCAGUGACAUACCGGCUGAUAAAGCAAGUUCCCAGCAAGGUGGCAGAACGAGCGGGACCUGGGAUUAUCCCUCAGCCACAGACCCACCUGGGAGCCUGCCUGCCAGAAGGAGAAAUGGCACAAGAGGAAAUACAUCUUCACAGCCUCGAGAGAGGAGAGGUUUGGAAUCUGAGUCCGUAAACAGCGUUGCUGCGCAGUGAGCAAAGGCAGAGCAGGUUGUGCUCUGGAGAGUGUAACCCCACCUCCGCAGCUUCUCUUCCGAAUUAAAAAAUAAAUAG
Long non-coding RNA from Aquila chrysaetos chrysaetos, 494 nucleotides. RefSeq lists it as uncharacterized. Lineage: Eukaryota; Metazoa; Chordata; Aves; Accipitriformes; Accipitridae. The record is from RefSeq and is a predicted model, not a curated record. The transcript has 2 exons.